GAUGAAGAACGCAGCGAAAUGCGAUAAGUAGUGUGAAUUGCAGAAUUCAGUGAAUCAUCGAAUCUUUGAACGCACAUUGCGCCCCAUGGUAUUCCGUGGGGCAUGCCUGUUCGAGCGUCAUUUGUACCCUCAAGCUUUGCUUGGUGUUGGGCGUCUUGUCUCUAGCUUUGCUGGAGACUCGCCUUAAAGUAAUUGGCAGCCGGCCUACUGGUUUCGGAGCGCAGCACAAGUCGCACUCUCUAUCAGCAAAGGUCUAGCAUCCAUUAAGCCUUUUUUUCAACUUUUGACCUCGGAUCAGGUAGGGAUACCCGCUGAACUUAAGCAUAUCAAUAAGCGGAGGA
RNAcentral lists this unclassified non-coding RNA (341 nucleotides) under soil metagenome. Its description in RNAcentral is "partial contains 5.8S ribosomal RNA, internal transcribed spacer 2, and large subunit ribosomal RNA". The stretch from base 1 to 120 matches the Rfam family "5.8S ribosomal RNA", at positions 35 to 154 of the family's 154-position model. The record is from RNAcentral.